UACGGAGGAUGCGAGCGUUAUCCGGAUUUAUUGGGUUUAAAGGGUGCGUAGGCGGGCUGCUAAGUCAGCGGUAAAAGCCCGGGGCUCAACCCCGGCGAGCCGUUGAAACUGGCUGUCUUGAGAUGUCGAGAGGUAUGCGGAAUGCGCAGUGUAGCGGUGAAAUGCUUAGAUAUUGCGCAGAACUCCGAUUGCGAAGGCAGCAUACCGGCGGCGAUCUGACGCUGAGGCACGAAAGCGUGGGUAUCGAACAGG
RNAcentral lists this ribosomal RNA (252 nucleotides) under uncultured bacterium. RNAcentral describes it as "partial 16S ribosomal RNA". It matches the Rfam family "Bacterial small subunit ribosomal RNA", at positions 524 to 776 of the family's 1533-position model. The record is from RNAcentral.